RNAcentral lists this non-coding RNA (113 nucleotides) under Bacteroidota bacterium. Its description in RNAcentral is "Bacteroidetes bacterium TPP sequence". It matches the Rfam family "TPP riboswitch aptamer (THI element)". From Rfam's summary of the family: Vitamin B(1) in its active form thiamin pyrophosphate (TPP) is an essential coenzyme that is synthesised by coupling of pyrimidine and thiazole moieties in bacteria. The previously detected thiamin-regulatory element, thi box was extended, resulting in a new, highly conserved RNA secondary structure, the THI element, which is widely distributed in eubacteria and also occurs in some archaea. Lineage: Bacteria; Pseudomonadati; Bacteroidota. The record is from RNAcentral.
AUUUACGCAAUGGGGUGCCUGCCCGACGAAAGUCGGGGUAAUUAAAGGCUGAGAUCACACCCACCGAACCUGAUACGGGUAAUGCCGGCGAAGGGAUGGCGAAAGGGAAUUAC